GAUGAGAAGCUUCGACUAAGGUUCGAUUCGAGCGCAGCGAGAACGCGUUGCCGCAGGCAACGACCCGAAGGGCGAAGCGCGCAGCGCUGAGUCAUCCUUCCCCCACCACCA
Molecule: small RNA, 111 nt
Filed under: Salmonella enterica subsp. enterica serovar Heidelberg
Lineage: Bacteria; Pseudomonadati; Pseudomonadota; Gammaproteobacteria; Enterobacterales; Enterobacteriaceae
Also listed under: 2 other names
Description: partial RtT sRNA
Rfam family: RtT RNA
About the family: This family represents a bacterial cis-regulatory element known as RtT RNA. The exact function of RtT is unknown although it is thought that it may be involved in changing the cellular response in relation to amino acid starvation.
Source: RNAcentral